RNAcentral lists this ribosomal RNA (940 nucleotides) under Hebeloma mesophaeum. RNAcentral's name for it is "partial large subunit ribosomal RNA". It matches the Rfam family "Eukaryotic large subunit ribosomal RNA", at positions 34 to 960 of the family's 3401-position model. The record is from RNAcentral. Lineage: Eukaryota; Fungi; Basidiomycota; Agaricomycetes; Agaricales; Hymenogastraceae.
CUAGCAUAUCAAUAAGCGGAGGAAAAGAAACUAACAAGGAUUCCCCUAGUAACUGCGAGUGAAGCGGGAAAAGCUCAAAUUUAAAAUCUGGCGGUCUCCGGCCGUCCGAGUUGUAAUCUAGAGAAGUGUUAUCCGCGCUGGACCGUGUACAAGUCUCCUGGAAUGGAGCGUCAUAGAGGGUGAGAAUCCCGUCUUUGACACGGACUGCCAGGGCUUUGUGAUGCGCUCUCAAAGAGUCGAGUUGUUUGGGAAUGCAGCUCAAAAUGGGUGGUAAAUUCCAUCUAAAGCUAAAUAUUGGCGAGAGACCGAUAGCGAACAAGUACCGUGAGGGAAAGAUGAAAAGAACUUUGGAAAGAGAGUUAAACAGUACGUGAAAUUGCUGAAAGGGAAACGCUUGAAGUCAGUCGCGUUGGCCGGGGAUCAACCUUGCUUUUGCUGGGCGUACUUUCCGGUUGACGGGUCAGCAUCAAUUUUGACCGUUGGAUAAAGUCUAGGGGAAUGUGGCAUCUUCGGAUGUGUUAUAGCCCUUGGUCGCAUACAACGGUUGGGAUUGAGGAACUCAGCACGCCGCAAGGCCGGGUACUUGUACCACGUUCGUGCUUAGGAUGCUGGCAUAAUGGCUUUAAUCGACCCGUCUUGAAACACGGACCAAGGAGUCUAACAUGCCUGCGAGUGUUUGGGUGGAAAACUCGGACGCGUAAUGAAAGUGAAAGUUGAGAUCCCUGUCGCGGGGAGCAUCGACGCCCGGACCAGACCUUUUGUGACGGAUCCGCGGUAGAGCAUGUAUGUUGGGACCCGAAAGAUGGUGAACUAUGCCUGAAUAGGGUGAAGCCAGAGGAAACUCUGGUGGAGGCUCGUAGCGAUUCUGACGUGCAAAUCGAUCGUCAAAUUUGGGUAUAGGGGCGAAAGACUAAUCGAACCAUCUAGUAGCUGGUCCUGC